UCCAUAUGCGCGCGAUGGAAUCCAUAUGCGCGCGAUGGAAAACACCCGAGUCGGACCAGACCAGCAAAAGAAAAGAAAAAACACACCCGUCCAACCCCCAAUCUCACCCUUUUCUCUCUCACCACUCACAUAGAACCCGUGCGCCACCGCCUCCGACCUAAACCUAAAUCGACCGCGCCGCCGCCCCCGAUCUGCGCGCCGCCGCCCGUCCGCUUGUUCCCUCGUGCCACAUCAACUCCAACCCUGACCUUCCUCCCCGCAGGGCACCAUCCACCCAGGAGCAGCAGCUCCAUCCGUCGCGCUGAGGAGUAGCAGUGCCGUCAAGCGCCACCAUACAGGAGCAGCAGCGCCUUCAAGCGCCACCGGACAGGAGCAGCAGAACCAUCCACCAGUAAGGAGAAGCAAGGCCAUCGGCCGCCGAGGAUCCAUCGCUGGUUUUCCUCCACCUGUGGCCUCUGUUCCGGCUGAUUUCCUUCCCUCCGCCCGGCCUGAGGUGGUGGGGGCAAGUGAAGAAUUUACAUCGGUUCUGUUACAGGAACAGAGGAUGGUCCUCCUAAGCUGCUUAAUGAUGGUUGCUAAUGACAAUGAUUUAUAUUUCGAUGAUGAUGACGGUGAUGAGCCAUUGAUGCUCGAGGAUGAAGCAGGGUUAGCCGAGGUCCUCGAAGCCUAUCUCUGACGCUGAUGGGUGGACCGCUCUGCUGCCUAGGCAUGAUCAGCCUGGGAAGUAGUAUUAAGGACAUGAGAAGCAAUACUUGGCGCUGUUUGGUCUGAAGGUAGAGUUGGAAUCCCUCUAGCCCAGCUCUAGGCAGGAGGUCGGUUGGAAUUGGAUCAGUAUCAGGAUUAGGAAGCAACCAAGUCACCCUUUUGAUCAACUAAAAUAGUAACAACAGUCAAUGGUGGUAAUAAACAACAACUUUCCUCCCUCUGGCCUUUCUGUAUCAUCGCAUUAAUUCUGGCCAGUUUAUGGUCCGAUGCAAGUGGCCUGACUAUGUUUCUAUUGUUGUUUAGUAGGGAACUAGGAAUUGUGCGUAAAUGCAGUUAUCUUGUUUUGUUCUGGGCUUGUGAUCCCUCUUUGACAAAGAUGUUCUAAUCGCUGUCGCAACCAAAAAUGGAGUCCCAUGCAAGCCACAACAACAUCAAUUAUUCUUUCUUGCUUUUGUUUUCAUCGUUUAAGCAUUGUUUGUCCUGUUUACAUUGAUAUAUCAAACUGAAUGCAUCAUUUUUGCUGGUUGCUCCUCUGAGGUUUUUAUUGAAUGAUAUCAAUGUUGCUUGCUUAUAGAUUGAAUUUCAGGUUUAUUUAUCGAGUAAGCAAUCUAAUCUGGUACAAUAGAAAUUACUCUUUACUUUGACGCUUGCAGACUUGUGACCAUGAGGUCACGUGUUCAAGUCCUGGAAAGAGCCUCUUGUAGAAAUGUAGGGAAAGGCUGCGUACAAUAGACCCAAAGCGGUCGGACCCUUCCCCGGACCCUGCGCAAGUGGAGCUACAUGCACCGGGCUGCCCUUUUGACGCUUGCAGACCAUGUGAUGUUGCUUGCUUAUAUAUCAACAAGCACACGGCUCCGUGGGCGAGGAGGAUGACUGGGACCCCAACCCCAAGUCGACGACCCUGACCUCGACUUCCCACACAAGGGAUAAAUGGUAGAAAGUAGCAAGUCCACAAGUUGAUCGAAGAUGUUCUCCUGAUUUCUUUUGUUGAGAACAGGGUUCACACAUUUUGUUCAUAUGGAAGUUGAUUUGGCUUGGUGAUUGAAGAGUUGGUCUUCCAUAAUAUUCUGUAGUAGUCAAGAGAUCAAGGAUUUGUCUCCUAGGAACUUUGGCCAUUAUGCUUGUAAUAACGUGCCUCUCUCGGUACUUAUAUCUGACUUGUGUAUACUUAAUGGCUGUAGCUAACUUCAGUGAAGAAAACUAAUGAAUCUUCUAUAUAUGUCGAAUGAAUGCAUUGAUCAAUGGUAUCUUUUGCUGAAUAGAAGAGUCUGACUUGUGUAUACUUAAUGGC
This 1996-nucleotide ribosomal RNA is filed under the name Triticum aestivum (bread wheat). RNAcentral describes it as "partial small subunit ribosomal RNA". Lineage: Eukaryota; Viridiplantae; Streptophyta; Magnoliopsida; Poales; Poaceae. The record is from RNAcentral.